Rhinolophus ferrumequinum (greater horseshoe bat) is the source of this 134-nucleotide small nuclear RNA. Its record names the gene U4. It matches the Rfam family "U4 spliceosomal RNA". Rfam says of the family: U4 small nuclear RNA (U4 snRNA) is a component of the major U2-dependent spliceosome. The record is from Ensembl. NCBI's taxonomy places the organism in Eukaryota, Metazoa, Chordata, Mammalia, Chiroptera, Rhinolophidae.
AGCUUUGCGCAGUGGCAGUAUCGUAGCCAAUGAGGUUUAUCGAGGCACGAUUAUUGCUAAUUGAAAACUUUUCCUAAAAAUCGUUUUUGUUACCCCUACAUGAGUGUAUUCAUUUCUUUCAUAGAGGCAGCUUU